This 851-nucleotide ribosomal RNA is filed under the name uncultured bacterium. RNAcentral describes it as "partial 16S ribosomal RNA". It matches the Rfam family "Bacterial small subunit ribosomal RNA", at positions 64 to 963 of the family's 1533-position model. The record is from RNAcentral.
AGGUGCUUACCUGCAGUUAAUGUUAUAAACAUAGCGAACGGGUGAGUAACACGUAAAUAAUCUACCUUUUAAUUCAGAAUAAUUAUUUUAUAUAAAAAUACUGAAUAAAUAAAAUAAAGUUUUAAAAACGUUAAAAGAUGAGUUUGCGCAAGAUUAGGUAGUUGGUAAUUUAAUAGAUUACCAAGCCUACUAUCUUUAGCUGGUUUGAAAGAAUGAUCAGCCACAAUGGGACUGAGACACGGCCCAAACUUUUUUAAAGGCAGCAGUGGGGAAUUUUGGACAAUGAGCGAAAGCUUGAUCAGCAAUACCAAGUGAGUGAGGAAGGCUAAAUAGGCUGUAAAGCUCUUUCAUUAAGGAGGAAAAUGACAUUACUUAAAAAAGAAGUUCCGGCUAAUACCCGUGCCAGCAGCCGCGGUAAUACGGGAGGAGCGAGCAUUAUUCGGAAUGAUUAGGCGUAAAGGGUUUGUAGGUUGUUUUUUAAGUUGAAAAAAAAAAAAUAAAGCUUAACUUUAUAAAUUUUUUCAAAACUGAUAAACUUGAGUAUAAAUAGAGGAUAAUGGAAUUUCUAUUGAAGUGAUAAAAUACGUUGAUAAUAGAAGGAAGACCAACAGCGAAGGCAAUUAUCUGGGUAUAUACUGACACUGAGAAACGAAAGCUUGGGUAGCAAACGGGAUUAGAAACCCCGGUAGUCCAUGCUGUAAACGAUGAGUGCUCAUAUUUAGAAUUUUUAGAUAUCAAGCUAACGCAUUAAGCACUCCGCCUGAAAAGUAUAAUCGCAAGAUUGAAAUUCAAAGGAAUUGACGGGAGUCUACACAAGCGGUGGAGCAUGUGGUUUAAUUCGAUAAUACGCG